AUACGUAGGUGGCAAGCGUUGUCCGGAUUUAUUGGGCGUAAAGCGAGCGCAGGCGGUUUUUUAGGUCUGAUGUGAAAGCCUUCGGCUUAACCGGAGAAGUGCAUCGGAAACCGGGAGACUUGAGUGCAGAAGAGGACAGUGGAACUCCAUGUGUAGCGGUGAAAUGCGUAGAUAUAUGGAAGAACACCAGUGGCGAAGGCGGCUGUCUGGUCUGCAACUGACGCUGAGGCUCGAAAGCAUGGGUAGCGAACAGGAUUAGAUACCCUGGUAGUCCAUGCCGUAAACGAUGAGUGCUAAGUGUUGGAGGGUUUCCGCCCUUCAGUGCUGCAGUUAACGCAUUAAGCACUCCGCCUGGGGAGUACGACCGCAAGGUUGAA
RNAcentral lists this ribosomal RNA (377 nucleotides) under uncultured bacterium. RNAcentral's name for it is "bacterial SSU rRNA". It matches the Rfam family "Bacterial small subunit ribosomal RNA", at positions 523 to 898 of the family's 1533-position model. The record is from RNAcentral.